GUAGGGGGCAAGCGUUAUCCGGAUUUACUGGGUGUAAAGGGAGCGUAGACGGCGAAGCAAGUCUGAAGUGAAAGCUCGGGGCUUAACCCCGGAACUGCUUUGGAAACUGUUUUGCUGGAGUGCUGGAGAGGUAAGUGGAAUUCCUAGUGUAGCGGUGAAAUGCGUAGAUAUUAGGAGGAACACCAGUGGCGAAGGCGGCUUACUGGACAGUAACUGACGUUGAGGCGCGAAAGCGUGGGGAGC
Molecule: ribosomal RNA, 243 nt
Filed under: uncultured bacterium
Lineage: Bacteria
Description: partial 16S ribosomal RNA
Rfam family: Bacterial small subunit ribosomal RNA
Source: RNAcentral